Molecule: long non-coding RNA, 541 nt
Filed under: Homo sapiens (human)
Lineage: Eukaryota; Metazoa; Chordata; Mammalia; Primates; Hominidae
Description: HSALNT0169982
Source: RNAcentral
UUUUUUCCUUCUGCCAGGAGACCGGGAGCCUCCCAGACGCGGGCUGCUCUGUCAGUUGGGGGCCUGUAGCAAAGAGAAUCUGGAGAAUGCCACAGCACAUCUGUGAUGAACACAAAAGAUGAUUGUCACUGUAAACCACUGGGCUUCAUGCAGAUUACCUACAUCAGAGUGAGAGGCAGCUGGAAGAAGUGCAAUGCAUUGAGAAACCUCUAGAAAGAGACACCAGUGCUGGAACAGGACGAACCUCAAGUGCAGGGUUUCCUCCCAACAGUGAAGAGAACUCAGCAGUGAGCCUCUGUGGAGAAGGGGGCAUUUAAGCUGGGCCCCAGACUCAGCAGAGGGAAUUCUGGAGCAAAAGUGCCAAGGAGGGUGCAAGCUUGGCUCUGCAGGAACUGGGGCCAUGUGACAGCAGUCUUUCUCCAAUAGGAUGCCCAUAGCCACUAUCCAGCCUGAGGCAUUCAACAAACACUGAGCACAAGCAAGACAGAAGAGCUCUCAGCUCCUCCACAUUCAAUACAACAAGUCAAAUGUGAGCGUGGGU